RNAcentral lists this ribosomal RNA (487 nucleotides) under uncultured bacterium. RNAcentral's name for it is "partial 16S ribosomal RNA". It matches the Rfam family "Bacterial small subunit ribosomal RNA", at positions 30 to 506 of the family's 1533-position model. The record is from RNAcentral.
AUUGAACGCUGGCGGCAGGCCUAACACAUGCAAGUCGAACGGUAGCACAGAGAGCUUGCUCUCGGGUGACGAGUGGCGGACGGGUGAGUAAUGUCUGGGAAACUGCCCGAUGGAGGGGGAUAACUACUGGAAACGGUAGCUAAUACCGCAUAAUGUCGCAAGACCAAAGAGGGGGACCUUCGGGCCUCUUGCCAUCGGAUGUGCCCAGAUGGGAUUAGCUUGUUGGUGAGGUAAUGGCUCACCAAGGCGACGAUCCCUAGCUGGUCUGAGAGGAUGACCAGCCACACUGGAACUGAGACACGGUCCAGACUCCUACGGGAGGCAGCAGGGGGGAAUAUUGCACAAUGGGCGCAAGCCUGAUGCAGCCAUGCCGCGUGUGUGAAGAAGGCCUGCGGGUUGUAAAGCACUUUCAGCGGGGAGGAAGGCAAUGCGGUUAAUAACCGUGUUGAUGGACGUUACCCGCAGAAGAAGCACCGGCUAACUCCGU